Molecule: long non-coding RNA, 734 nt
Filed under: Salmo salar (Atlantic salmon)
Lineage: Eukaryota; Metazoa; Chordata; Actinopteri; Salmoniformes; Salmonidae
Description: lncRNA (ENSSSAG00000118576.1)
Source: RNAcentral
GUUUUAUAAUUUUUUACCCAGGAGUAUAUGAAGGGUGGAUGGAUUUUCAUUUCCUCACUGUGUGACGAUGACCGCGGGGCAUUGUGGGAUUUUUUUCUUAAGGACCUGAGCCCUAGGACCAUGCCUCAGGACUACCUGGCAUGAUGACUCCUUGCUGUCCCCAGUCCACCUGGCCGUGCUGCUGCUCCAGUUUCAACUGUUCUGCCUGCGGCUUUGGAACCCUGACCUGUUCACCGGACGUGCUUGUUGCACCCUCGACAACUACUAUGAUUAUUAUUAUUAUUUGACCAUGCUGGUCAUUUAUGAACAUUUUAACAUCUUGACCAUGUUCUGUUAUAAUAUCCACCCUGCACAGCCAGAAGAGGACUGGCCAUCCCUCAUAGCCUGGUUCCUCUCUAGGUUUCUUCCUAGGUUUUUGGCCUUUCUAGGGAGUUUUUCCUAGCCACCGUGCUUCUUUCACAUGCAUUGCUUGCUGUUUGGGGUUUUAGGCUGGGUUUCUGUACAGCACUUUGAGAUAUCAGCUGAUGUACGAAGGGCUAUAUAAACACAUUUGAUUUGAUUUUCGGUCAAAAGAGAUGGUUGCAGCAACAUUAUGUACAAAACAAAGUUACACAUGUUGCAUGUGUGUGUGAUUAGUUGUGUUAGUGUGUUUUACCUGCUGAGCAAACAUGUUAGUGUGUCUGCUCUCACAGUGGGCCCACAGAGAGGGAGGAUCUACAGUGCUGUUAAUGGGG